ACAUACUUGGACCACAAGAAACAGCUGUCAGUCAGAAAUUCCAAUACUCAGUUCACCGUCACUGAUACUGUAAAGUGAUGCACGUCAUGCAACAGCACCUUCUGGGUGUGGCCUUCUAGAGACAUGUUCCCUCAUGUGUAAAAUUCAGCACAUACAGCACUAUUAUACAGAAUCCUCACAGAGCUGUGUUCAGAAAUGACUCAACUCUACACCUUACUGUACAUAGUGAGAUACACACCACUGAUUCUCACUGUAGUUACAGCAGGCAGUUUUGCAGAUAAAAUUGGGCCGACAUAUGAAGAUGCCAAUAUUAUAGGAAAAGAAACAGACACUUUUACUCUGAAAUGUUCAUAUGAGUCAGGCAGUGAAUACAUUCGGCUUUACUGGUACAAACAAUAUCCUAACAGCACACCACAGUUUUUAUUGUAUAAAGGCGCAAGGUCAGUUAGUUAUGCGAGCACUCCUACUGACACUCGAUUACAAACAGAAACAUCCAGAAACUCUACUGAACUUACUAUCAGAGGUCUAGAGCUCUCAGAUUCUGCUCUCUAUCACUGCGCUCUAAGAGUAGGAGACACAGUAAUACAAAAACACUGAAAGCCUUUACAAAAACCUAACAAUGGAAUAUAGGAAGCUUCUAAAACCACAGCAGAUUAAAGGUGUUCAUUUGAUCAAAUUGUCAGUUAACCACAGACACAAACAACAUGUGUUGCAACAGAUGCAGCUGGAAGAAAGAUAAAAUAAUUAACACUAACAUUUUCAUCACAGCAGUCUACAAAUAUAUUUACAUUUUGAAUGCUCCAAAAUAUAUUCAAUAACAUUUCCAGAUCUAUUGUGUCUGGUGUUUUCCUGUAUUGAAUUUCCAUCUGUUCAUUGUUCAUUGGUCCAUGUGUUUAUUAUGUACUUGUAUAAACAGUUCCAGUCAAAAGUUUGGACACACA
Silurus meridionalis is the source of this 941-nucleotide long non-coding RNA. RefSeq lists it as uncharacterized. Lineage: Eukaryota; Metazoa; Chordata; Actinopteri; Siluriformes; Siluridae. The record is from RefSeq and is a predicted model, not a curated record. The transcript has 2 exons.